AUUAGGAGAGCAGGCUACAAAUAACCACAAAAGGUUCUGACGAUAUGGUGACAUGUGUGACGAUUUUACAAUAAUUCUAUAAAAGAGGCUUCAAUUUACUUUCCAAAUCAUGGCUGACCCGGAAUCUCUUCUGAUCUUAUUGCUUGCUUUGGUGGAAGUAAAAGAUCUCACAACAUUAUUUGAAGAAAAAUGAAGUUUUUCCAGUAUCUUAGUCAACAUGUCUCCUCAGCCAACGCCGAAAGCAGAAGGUUGUCUCAUGUAUUUCAUUGCUGCCACUUUAAAUUUGAAAUUAUCAACUGUAUUUUCCACAUUACCCCAUAGUUGCUACAUUUCAAAAGUAGUACAAUAGUGGGAAAGUGUUUGAGGUAAUGAAAAGUGCUACUUAAAUGCUGUGAGCUUUUCACUCUUUUUGUUCGCUAAUGCAGAUUGAUUGUCAUUGUUAUAUGUUUGUUUUGUAUUGAGUUUUUUGUUAAAUAAAUGUUUGG
Chiloscyllium plagiosum (whitespotted bambooshark) is the source of this 485-nucleotide non-coding RNA. Lineage: Eukaryota; Metazoa; Chordata; Chondrichthyes; Orectolobiformes; Hemiscylliidae. The record is from RefSeq and is a predicted model, not a curated record.